Molecule: long non-coding RNA, 1137 nt
Organism: Acanthochromis polyacanthus (spiny chromis)
Lineage: Eukaryota; Metazoa; Chordata; Actinopteri; Pomacentridae
Exons: 2
Source: RefSeq, a predicted model, not a curated record
UUUAUUUCUCCAACAUCCUGCUGUUAUCCUACUAUGAAUACGCUAGCUACAACAGUCCCACAUCAGUAUUAUGAACGUUCCGCCAGCUAACGCGGUCCGGACACCGGAUCAGUGAUUAGAGGUUGGCGUUCAACUAUUGUUUGCCAGCCAGUUAGCCGCUGGUAAGCUAACAAGCUAUGAAACAACUCCUUAUAAAACCGGAGGAAAGCAGCAGCAAUAUUUCAGUCCAAGACCUGUAUUCAGAACCUCCCACGCUGUUACACAAUGACCCAUUAUUCAUAUUACUGAACUAUAUGGUUAUCAUUGAAAUUUUCCUUGAAGAACCAGUGAACUCUUUGCGAACACAUUUUAAUUUAUGUGUUGAUUAUGUUUCGUAUCAGUAAUACAAGUCUAAAAAACUGAUUGAAAUGAUCAAGUUAACACAAUGAAGUAAAGAGUACUGGUAAUCUGCAGCUAUUUUCAUAAUUUCAAGGUGAAAUUCUGAUGUGUGAUUUUCUAGCUUUGCAGAUGUGGAAAUCCAAUGCACUGAUUUCUUAUACACAGAUGCUUUUGGUGUUUUUUGUUGUAAAAUAAAACAAGGCAUUUAUCACUGUUGGAAAUUAUUACAGGUAUUAUUUGUAAGACUUUCUAACAUUGUAUGGACAAAGCAAUAAAUCAGUUAAUGGAUAAAAUCAUUUGUAUUACAGAUGCUAUCAACAGCAUGUCUUGUUCAUUUUAUUUAGUUGUCGGCCUUGGAUGAUGAGGUCCAGUUACCAGGAGCACUAGUCUGCAGCUUACUGGUUCCGUCUUGCAGCUCCUCCACGCUGUCCUCCUCUCUACAGACCAAAUCAAGAAAAGGGAACCAGGAAGCUGCUGUGGAUCCUCUGCAGUAUCUGGAGAGGUCAGAGGAACGGUUCUUGGAACAGAUCGGAAGACACCAAGACGUGACCUCUGCCAUGCUCCAGAACAUCCAGAAGAUGAAUGAAAACCUUGGUUGCACUGAUGGGAUGCAUGGUGUCGGUGCUGGAGCAACUGUCCCAGAAUUAAACUGCAUUGUUGACUAUUGGCUUUUCUAGAAAAUAAAUCUUUUUUAGUACUUCACCUGUUUUGUAUUUUACUCAUGCACUUUGGAUGAAUGAACAGAAAUUUGUGAUGAGA